This 662-nucleotide ribosomal RNA is filed under the name Enterobacter hormaechei. RNAcentral's name for it is "partial 23S ribosomal RNA". It matches the Rfam family "Bacterial large subunit ribosomal RNA", at positions 344 to 1010 of the family's 2925-position model. Lineage: Bacteria; Pseudomonadati; Pseudomonadota; Gammaproteobacteria; Enterobacterales; Enterobacteriaceae. RNAcentral also lists the same sequence under 1 other name. The record is from RNAcentral.
GGAAAGUCCGACGGUACAGGGUGAUAGUCCCGUACACGAAAAUGCACAUGCUGUGAACUCGAAGAGUAGGGCGGGACACGUGGUAUCCUGUCUGAAUAUGGGGGGACCAUCCUCCAAGGCUAAAUACUCCUGACUGACCGAUAGUGAACCAGUACCGUGAGGGAAAGGCGAAAAGAACCCCGGCGAGGGGAGUGAAAAAGAACCUGAAACCGUGUACGUACAAGCAGUGGGAGCCUCUUUAUGGGGUGACUGCGUACCUUUUGUAUAAUGGGUCAGCGACUUAUAUUCUGUAGCAAGGUUAACCGUAUAGGGGAGCCGAAGGGAAACCGAGUCUUAACUGGGCGUUAAGUUGCAGGGUAUAGACCCGAAACCCGGUGAUCUAGCCAUGGGCAGGUUGAAGGUUGGGUAACACUAACUGGAGGACCGAACCGACUAAUGUUGAAAAAUUAGCGGAUGACCUGUGGCUGGGGGUGAAAGGCCAAUCAAACCGGGAGAUAGCUGGUUCUCCCCGAAAGCUAUUUAGGUAGCGCCUCGUGAACUCAUCUUCGGGGGUAGAGCACUGUUUCGGCUAGGGGGCCAUCCCGGCUUACCAACCCGAUGCAAACUACGAAUACCGAAGAAUGUUAUCACGGGAGACACACGGCGGGUGCUAACGUCCGUCG